Long non-coding RNA from Sorex fumeus (smoky shrew), 250 nucleotides. RefSeq lists it as uncharacterized. The record is from RefSeq and is a predicted model, not a curated record. The transcript is spliced from 3 exons. NCBI's taxonomy places the organism in Eukaryota, Metazoa, Chordata, Mammalia, Eulipotyphla, Soricidae.
CCCUAAUCAGGUUUGGGUAUCAAGAUUAUGCUGGCCUCUUAAAAGAAGCUGGGGACGUUCCAUCUUCUUGCGUGCUCUAAGUGAGAAGCAGGGAGACCAGAGGACCAACUCCCGUGAGCUGCUGACGCUCCAGCCAAUCGUCACCUGGAAUGACUUAACUAGACACAACCGAUGGUCCUGGGAGAAACCAAUGUUUUGUUAAAACACCCGCGAGAAGAGAGUCCCUAACAGAAACAAGGUGAAAUAAACA